GACGAACGCUGGCGGCGUGCCUAAUACAUGCAAGUUGAGCGCUGAAGGUUGGUACUUGUACCAACUGGAUGAGCAGCGAACGGGUGAGUAACGCGUGGGGAAUCUGCCUUUGAGCGGGGGACAACAUUUGGAAACGAAUGCUAAUACCGCAUAAAAACUUUAAACACAAGUUUUAAGUUUGAAAGAUGCAAUUGCAUCACUCAAAGAUGAUCCCGCGUUGUAUUAGCUAGUUGGUGAGGUAAAGGCUCACCAAGGCGAUGAUACACAGCCGACCUGAGAGGGUGAUCGGCCACAUUGGGACUGAGACACGGCCCAAACUCCUACGGGAGGCAGCAGUAGGGAAUCUUCGGCAAUGGACGAAAGUCUGACCGAGCAACGCCGCGUGAGGGAAGAAGGUUGUCGGAUCGUAAAACUCUGUUGGUAGAGAAGAACGUUGGUGAGAGUGGAAAGCUCAUCAAGUGACGGUAACUACCCAGAAAGGGACGGCUAACUACGUG
RNAcentral lists this ribosomal RNA (497 nucleotides) under uncultured bacterium. RNAcentral describes it as "partial 16S ribosomal RNA". It matches the Rfam family "Bacterial small subunit ribosomal RNA", at positions 28 to 507 of the family's 1533-position model. The record is from RNAcentral.